UACGUAGGGUGCGAGCGUUAAUCGGAAUUACUGGGCGUAAAGCGUGCGCAGGCGGUUUUGUAAGCCAGAUGUGAAAUCCCCGGGCUUAACCUGGGAAUGGCAUUUGGGACUGCAAGGCUUGAGUGCGGCAGAGGAGAGUGGAAUUCCUGGUGUAGCGGUGAAAUGCGCAGAUAUCAGGAAGAACACCCGUGGCUAAGGCGGCUCUCUAGUACGGUACUGACGCUGAGACGCGAAAGCGUGGGGAGCGAACAGG
Molecule: ribosomal RNA, 253 nt
Filed under: uncultured bacterium
Lineage: Bacteria
Description: partial 16S ribosomal RNA
Rfam family: Bacterial small subunit ribosomal RNA
Source: RNAcentral